AUUUUUUCAUUGGAUGAGCCUAAUAAGGGUGUGGCCUAACCAACAUGGUUUGUGGGGAAAGAAAGGGGAUUGAUUUAGGUGGCUCUACAGAAAGAAAUAAAAAGCCAAGAAAGAAUGUAAAAAAAUAGACAGUUCUUGCUAUGGAGCUAGGUUACUCUUUCACCCAUUAUGUACUCAAGUUUCUUAAGGCUACAUAAAUGGAAACUGAACAACAGAUGCAACAAUCUGUGGAAACUUGGAUGCACUGUAAAUCUACUGGGAUUAUAUCUGGGAAGACAAUGUUUGCAUUCAGGAUAAGACGAGCCUGGAGCCUAUCCCUUGGAUCUCAGGGCACAAGGUGGAGGACACUGGAGUACCUGGAGGAAACCCCAAAAGAAUGGGGAGAACAUAUAAAUUCCAUGCACCAAGGCUGGAGGCGGGAAUCAAACCCCCAACCCUUGAGGUGUGAGGCAAACGUGGUAACCACUUUUACUUACAGUAUAUCUUUCAGUAAACAUUACAUUACAGCUGUGCAAACUCCAAACAAAAAGUUUCCAGUGGAACUAAUUUCAGAAAAUAGGCCAAAGUUUGAAUUGCAUAUUUUAAUUACAGAUUGAUAGGGUGGCAAGAGAAAGAUCCUCCAUAAUGACUUCCCUUGGGCUGCUCAUUGAAGUUCACAAAAUAACACAACAUUAGAUCUCAUCCUCUGUGCAGUGCGCUGUAACACCAGAGAGGAAUCAUGUUCAGGGUGUGCAAAUGAACAAAACCGCAACUGAGUGCCUGUACCAGCCAGCACGCUACUCAAAUACCAUGACGGCAUUGAGUGUGAUGGAACACUGGCUCCGAGUUAUGUCUGUUUGUCUGCGUUAUCUUGCAUCUUAUAAUCAAAAUGAGAACUCAUCACUACCCUCAUUUGCCUGUAAUACCAAGUGUUAGAGAAAACAUGAGGGCUUACAGAGAGCAGAGAUCUCAGGAGUGAUGUAAAUCUUCAUCAGACUUUCUUCUUUCUUUCUUUGUAAGAUAAAUGAUGUUUUUUGUUUUUAAGAUAACAUGUUUUGCCUUUUUCUGUUGAUUUUUGAAACCUCUCAGAGUAUCGGCUCAGACAUCAGGUCAAUCUUCCCAUUAUGUUGUGUUUCUGUCUGUGUGUUAGAUACAGACUAAGAAAAGUGAUGGAAACCCAUGAGAGUGCAAGGCAGAACUUAGAGAUAAUGCUGAUGGAGGAGUCAGUUUUCACUGACACAGGCCUCUUAGGUGCAUGUAAAGGGAACGGAGAAUGGGAAACGGACCAAUUAUGGGCUUGAACAACAUGUUUAAACACUUAUGCUCUACAUUACGCACUGUCAACUUGUGCAUCAUGGGCCAGAUACAGAGCCAGCCAAGCUUUUUCAGCAGACCGGACUGAGUACAUGGGAAAAAAAUACUGUUGUACAGCUGCUAAACACACUUUACCAACAAGCAUGUAUUAAUGUACAAUUUUUUUUUCAUUUCAUUUACCCUCUCUGGUCUGGUUAGUGAAACGACGACAUGGCUUGUUUAAAAAAAAAUAAAAAAUAAAUAAAUAAAAGAUGAUGAAAACUUUGAAACGUUUAAAGAUGAUUGGACAGAGAAGUAUGUGCUUAUUCUCCCCGUGUCAAAUUCCGAACAGAUGUGUUUUAUGAGUCUAUGGUGCAAGUUAAAAGUGGUAUGUGAGUGUUGGACAAAACAUAACCACUUCAAAUGAUCUUAUUAAUAGCCAUAAAAUAGUCAUUCAUGUUUAAGCAUUAAGAGUAUUAGUGGAAAUGUAGAGCUCUACAUCAU
This is a long non-coding RNA of Ictalurus punctatus (channel catfish), 1776 nucleotides long. The record is from Ensembl. NCBI's taxonomy places the organism in Eukaryota, Metazoa, Chordata, Actinopteri, Siluriformes, Ictaluridae.